GGACUACUGGGGUUUCUAAUCCCGUUUGCUCCCCUGGCUUUCGCGCCUCAGCGUCAGAAGAGGACCAGUCGUGCGCUUUCGCCACCGGCGUUCCUUCCGAUAUCAACGCAUUUCACCGCUCCACCGGAAGUUCCCACGACCCCUGCCUCGCUCGAGUCCGCCAGUAUCCAAGGCACUUCCCCAGUUGAGCUGGGGGCUUUCACCCCGGACUUGGCAGACCGCCUACGCGCCCUUUAAGCCCAGUGAUUCCGAACAACGUUCGCACGGUUCGUCUUACCGCGGCGGCUGGCAC
Molecule: ribosomal RNA, 292 nt
Filed under: uncultured bacterium
Lineage: Bacteria
Also listed under: 2 other names
Description: partial 16S ribosomal RNA
Source: RNAcentral